GAUGAACGCUAGCGGCAGGCCUAAUACAUGCAAGUCGGACGGGAUUCAGGAGCUUACUUCUGAUGAGAGUGGCGCACGGGUGCGUAACACGUAUGUAACCUACCUUUAUCAGGGGGAUAGCCUCUCGAAAGAGAGAUUAAGCCCGCAUAAAAUCACAGCACAGCAUUGUGUAAUGAUCAAAUAUUUAUAGGAUAAAGAUGGGCAUGCGGAACAUUAGCUAGAUGGCGGGGUAACGGCCCACCAUGGCGACGAUGUUUAGGGGAUCUGAGAGGAUGGCCCCCCACACUGGUACUGAGACACGGACCAGACUCCUACGGGAGGCAGCAGUAAGGAAUAUUGGUCAAUGGGCGGAAGCCUGAACCAGCCAUGCCGCGUGCAGGAAGACGGCCCUACGGGUUGUAAACUGCUUUUAUACGGGAAUAAACCCAGAUACGUGUAUCUGGCUGAAUGUACUGUAAGAAUAAGGAGCGGCUAACCCCGUG
RNAcentral lists this ribosomal RNA (482 nucleotides) under uncultured bacterium. RNAcentral describes it as "partial 16S ribosomal RNA". It matches the Rfam family "Bacterial small subunit ribosomal RNA", at positions 28 to 507 of the family's 1533-position model. The record is from RNAcentral.